AUGCGCAUCGACCCGUCAAAUAUUUCUAGAAGAAUUAACCCCGAUAAUAAACCGCGAUCAUCGAGGAUUCCGAUGCAAAAGCUUACUUACUGCUCGUGGAGAGAGAGCUUAGCUGCGCAUGAUCGAUCUCGAUCCACAUCGGCGUCGGUCCCUCCCCUUGCUGCUUCCGCGAAUGAGGACACUCUCUCAUCGACCGAUUCACCGCAGGAAAUGGUCAGACCACGGCGCUCCGCGGGCGGCGGCGACGUCACGGUUGGGGACGAGGAAGGCGAGGGCGAGCAGCGCGAGCAUGAGCGCCACAGGGACGAGCAGCAGCAGCCACGGCGGCGGCGGCAGUGGGGGCAAAAGCAGCGGGAGCAGAAACAGCGCCGUUGCCGCCGCCGCCACGAGCAGCAUCGUCGUCGCCACGCUCCCUUCCAUAUCCCGAGCUAG
Molecule: ribosomal RNA, 432 nt
Filed under: Triticum aestivum (bread wheat)
Lineage: Eukaryota; Viridiplantae; Streptophyta; Magnoliopsida; Poales; Poaceae
Description: partial small subunit ribosomal RNA
Source: RNAcentral